This 498-nucleotide ribosomal RNA is filed under the name uncultured bacterium. Its description in RNAcentral is "partial 16S ribosomal RNA". It matches the Rfam family "Bacterial small subunit ribosomal RNA", at positions 29 to 523 of the family's 1533-position model. The record is from RNAcentral.
AUUGAACGCUGGCGGAAUGCUUUACACAUGCAAGUCGAGCGGCAGCGCGGGGCAACCUGGCGGCGAGCGGCGAACGGGUGAGUAAUACAUCGGAACGUACCCAGUUGUGGGGGAUAGCCCGGCGAAAGCCGGAUUAAUACCGCAUACGACCUGAGGGUGAAAGGGGGGGAUCGCAAGACCUCUCGCAGUUGGAGCGGCCGAUGGCGGAAUAGCUAGUUGGUGAGGUAAAGGCUCACCAAGGAGACGAUCCGUAGCGGGUCUGAGAGGACGACCCGCCACACUGGAACUGAGACACGGUCCAGACUCCUACGGGAGGCAGCAGUGGGGAAUUUUGGACAAUGGGGGCAACCCUGAUCCAGCCAUUCCGCGUGAGUGAAGAAGGCCUUCGGGUUGUAAAGCUCUUUCGGCAGGAACGAAACGGUGGAAGCUAAUAUCUUUUACUAAUGACGGCACCUGAAGAAGAAGCACCGGCUAACUACGUGCCAGCCGCCGCAGUAA